GUGAGUAACACGUGAGCAACCUGCCCUGGACUCUGGGAUAAGCGCUGGAAACGGCGUCUAAUACUGGAUAUGAGCCUUCAUCGCAUGGUGGGGGUUGGAAAGAUUUUUUGGUCUGGGAUGGGCUCGCGGCCUAUCAGCUUGUUGGUGAGGUAAUGGCUCACCAAGGCGUCGACGGGUAGCCGGCCUGAGAGGGUGACCGGCCACACUGGGACUGAGACACGGCCCAGACUCCUACGGGAGGCAGCAGUGGGGAAUAUUGCACAAUGGGCGGAAGCCUGAUGCAGCAACGCCGCGUGAGGGAUGACGGCCUUCGGGUUGUAAACCUCUUUUAGCAGGGAAGAAGCGAGAGUGACGGUACCUGCAGAAAAAGCGCCGGCUAACUACGUGCCAGCAGCCGCGGUAAUACGUAGGGCGCAAGCGUUAUCCGGAAUUAUUGGGCGUAAAGAGCUCGUAGGCGGUUUGUCGCGUCUGCUGUGAAAUCCCGAGGCUCAACCUCGGGCCUGCAGUGGGUACGGGCAGACUAGAGUGCGGUAGGGGAGAUUGGAAUUCCUGGUGUAGCGGUGGAAUGCGCAGAUAUCAGGAGGAACACCGAUGGCGAAGGCAGAUCUCUGGGCCGUAACUGACGCUGAGGAGCGAAAGGGUGGGGAGCAAACAGGCUUAGAUACCCUGGUAGUCCACCCCGUAAACGUUGGGAACUAGUUGUGGGGACCAUUCCACGGUUUCCGUGACGCAGCUAACGCA
This 741-nucleotide ribosomal RNA is filed under the name Microbacterium aurantiacum. RNAcentral describes it as "partial 16S ribosomal RNA". It matches the Rfam family "Bacterial small subunit ribosomal RNA", at positions 106 to 859 of the family's 1533-position model. The record is from RNAcentral. Lineage: Bacteria; Bacillati; Actinomycetota; Actinomycetes; Micrococcales; Microbacteriaceae.